This 229-nucleotide ribosomal RNA is filed under the name uncultured bacterium. RNAcentral's name for it is "partial 16S ribosomal RNA". It matches the Rfam family "Bacterial small subunit ribosomal RNA", at positions 568 to 796 of the family's 1533-position model. The record is from RNAcentral.
UGUGUAGGCGGGCUAAUAAGUCAGUGGUGAAAUCUCUCGGCUCAACCGGGAAACUGCCAUUGAUACUGUUAGUCUUGAGUUCGGUUGAGGUAGGCGGAAUGUGUAAUGUAGCGGUGAAAUGCUUAGAUAUUACACAGAACACCAAUUGCAUAGGCAGCUUACUAGACCGACACUGACGCUGAGGCACGAAAGCGUGGGGAGCGAACAGGAUUAGAUACCCUGGUAGUCC